UCAAACUUGGUCAUUUAGAGGAAGUAAAAGUCGUAACAAGGUUUCCGUAGGUGAACCUGCGGAAGGAUCAUUAACGAAUAUUUCAUCAUUCGAUGAAUCCACCUUGUGUGCAUUUGUAAAUGGUUUUGAAAAAGGGACAGCAAGAGGGGAUUCGUGGCCCGAACAAGGGUUGCCUUAUCACCUCGUCUUUUUUUCUAAAUUUUUUUAUAAAACACAUGUUAAACAAUUUUGAAUAAACAAAAAUUUUUUAAAAUAAAAUACAACUUUCAACAACGGAUCUCUUGGCUCUCGCAUCGAUGAAGAACGCAGC
This 310-nucleotide unclassified non-coding RNA is filed under the name uncultured fungus. Its description in RNAcentral is "partial contains small subunit ribosomal RNA, internal transcribed spacer 1, and 5.8S ribosomal RNA". The stretch from base 1 to 73 matches the Rfam family "Eukaryotic small subunit ribosomal RNA", at positions 1759 to 1831 of the family's 1831-position model. The record is from RNAcentral. Lineage: Eukaryota; Fungi.